GACUAUGGCCAUGCCACUCUGAACAAACCCGAUCCACUCUGAUCUCGGAAGCUAAGCAGGGUCCGGCCUGGUUAAUACUUGGAUGGGAGAAUACCUAGGAAGACCAGGUGCUGUAGGUA
RNAcentral lists this ribosomal RNA (119 nucleotides) under Pteropus alecto (black flying fox). The record is from RNAcentral. Lineage: Eukaryota; Metazoa; Chordata; Mammalia; Chiroptera; Pteropodidae.